This 216-nucleotide ribosomal RNA is filed under the name Glomeromycotina sp. RNAcentral's name for it is "partial small subunit ribosomal RNA". The stretch from base 40 to 216 matches the Rfam family "Eukaryotic small subunit ribosomal RNA", at positions 686 to 864 of the family's 1831-position model. Lineage: Eukaryota; Fungi; Glomeromycota. The record is from RNAcentral.
GGGUCAGUAGGUUGGUCGUGGCACCGGUACGUACUGGUCUCACUGAUUCCUCCUUCCUGAAGAACCGUAAUGCCAUUAAUUUGGUGUUGCGGGGAAACAGGACUGUUACUUUGAAAAAAUUAGAGUGUUUAAAGCAAGCUAACGCUUGAAUACAUUAGCAUGGAAUAAUGAAAUAGGACGACCGAUCCUAUUUUGUUGGUUUCUAGGAUUGACGUA